Molecule: ribosomal RNA, 468 nt
Filed under: uncultured bacterium
Lineage: Bacteria
Description: partial 16S ribosomal RNA
Rfam family: Bacterial small subunit ribosomal RNA
Source: RNAcentral
GACGAACGCUGGCGGCGUGCUUAACACAUGCAAGUCGAACGGAAAGGCCCUGCUUUUGUGGGGUGCUCGAGUGGCGAACGGGUGAGUAACACGUGAGUAACCUGCCCUUGACUUUGGGAUAACUUCAGGAAACUGGGGCUAAUACCGGAUAGGAGCUCCUGCUGCAUGGUGGGGGUUGGAAAGUUUCGGCGGUUGGGGAUGGACUCGCGGCUUAUCAGCUUGUUGGUGGGGUAGUGGCUUACCAAGGCUUUGACGGGUAGCCGGCCUGAGAGGGUGACCGGCCACAUUGGGCCUGCGAUACGGCCCAGACUCCUACGGGAGGCAGCAGUGGGGAAUAUUGCCCAAUGGGCGGACGCCUGAUGCAGCAACGCCGCGUGCGGGAUGACGGCCUUCGGGUUGUAAACCGCUUUCGCCUGUGACGAAGCGUGAGUGACGGUAAUGGGUAAAGAAGCACCGGCUAACUACGUG